Molecule: ribosomal RNA, 813 nt
Filed under: Oxneriaria permutata
Lineage: Eukaryota; Fungi; Ascomycota; Lecanoromycetes; Pertusariales; Megasporaceae
Description: partial large subunit ribosomal RNA
Rfam family: Eukaryotic large subunit ribosomal RNA
Source: RNAcentral
AUUCUCAAACUUUAAAUAUGUAAGAAGUCCUUGUUACUUAGUUGAACGUGGACAUUUGAAUGCACCGUUACUAGUGGGCCAUUUUUGGUAAGCAGAACUGGCGAUGCGGGAUGAACCGAACGUGAGGUUAAGGUGCCGGAAUACACGCUCAUCAGACACCAGAAAAUUNGUGGUGUCGNCCCCGGGACUGAGUGAGUCCCGGUCAGUUGUUACUUCGGUAGCGGCAAGGUCUUUGAUNUGCGAGGAGUGGNGAAGCCCAGCUCAUCCGCAGCCACCCUCCCGUGGCUCACAGAUUAAGCAUCGACCGGUGGUCCGCAGGGGCUGCUCGAGAUAUAAUCGGCCUCCCGGCUCACACUGGGAGCCUAAGCGCAAAAGGUGUUAAUUCAUCUAGACAGUUGGACGGUGGCCAUGGAAGUCGGAAUCCGCUAAGGAAUGUGUAUAUACUACAAAGAUUGGGAGCUAUUGCACAUGGACAGCAGGAGGUAUGCUAGCGAGCCUAGGGCUUUUGCCUCUGGGUUUCGUGACAGCUCUAAGAUGUCGGAAUGUGUCGCCUGUGUCAGGGCUAUACAACCGGCAGCGGGGGGGUUUCCCCUCCGUCCACAGACUAGACAGAGCUGACCGCGGGCCACACCGCGGCGAAGACAUAGCCGUUUCGGGCCCUGAAAGGGGGCUCGCUCGUACAAGAACAACUCACCAACCGAAUGAAUUAGCCCUGAAAAUGGAUGGCGCUCAAGCGUGUUACCUAUACCUCGCCGCCAGGGUAGAUCCUCAGUAACGGCGAGUAGGCUGACGUGGGGGUCAGUGACGAAGCCU